UAGCCUUUGGAAACGAAGAUUAAUACCCCAUAGUAUGUAUGAAUGGCAUCGUUUAUACAUUAAAACUGAGGUGGUAUAAGAUGACUAUGCGUCCUAUUAGCUAGUUGGUAUGGUAACGGCAUACCAAGGCAACGAUAGGUAGGGGUCCUGAGAGGGAGAUCCCCCACACUGGUACUGAGACACGGACCAGACUCCUACGGGAGGCAGCAGUGAGGAAUAUUGGACAAUGGUCGGAAGACUGAUCCAGCCAUGCCGCGUGCAGGAAGACUGCCCUAUGGUUGUAAACUGCUUUUAUACAGGAAGAAUAGGGGGUACGUGUACUCUGAUGACGGUACUGUAAGAAUAAGCACCGGCUAACUCCGUGCCAGCAGCCGCGGUAAUACGGAGGGUGCAAGCGUUAUCCGGAAUCAUUGGGUUUAAAGGGUCCGUAGCGGGUUUAUAAGUCAGUGGUGAAAGUCUGCAGCUUAACUGUAGAAUUGCCAUUGAUACUGUAGAUCUUGAAUCGUUGUGAAGUGGUUAGAAUAUGUAGUGUAGCGGUGAAAUGCUUAGAGAUUACAUAGAAUACCGAUUGCGAAGCAGAUCACUAACAAUGUAUUGACGCUGAUGGACGAAAGCGUAGGUAGCGAACGGGAUUAGAUACCCCGGUAGUCUACGCCGUAAACGAUGGAUACUAGUUGUUUGGUUUUCGGACUGAGUGACUAAGCGAAAGUGAUAAGUAUCCCACCU
RNAcentral lists this ribosomal RNA (726 nucleotides) under uncultured bacterium. RNAcentral describes it as "bacterial SSU rRNA". It matches the Rfam family "Bacterial small subunit ribosomal RNA", at positions 144 to 874 of the family's 1533-position model. The record is from RNAcentral.